Molecule: long non-coding RNA, 1926 nt
Organism: Melospiza melodia melodia
Lineage: Eukaryota; Metazoa; Chordata; Aves; Passeriformes; Passerellidae
Exons: 3
Source: RefSeq, a predicted model, not a curated record
UAUUUAAGGUUCUCUUUAUUGCUUCUGUCUCUUGCUUCUCUCAGGGAAUCACAGAGGAAAAGGCAGUAAGAAAGCAUGAAUUUUGCAGGGUGCCUCUUUGGAAAUGUGUUGGCAAUAUUUUGAUACACUUGCAAAAUAAGUUAUAGUGAAGUUUUGUCCAUUCAUUUCUCUUGGACAAAUAUCUUGGAAAUCUAAAGCAUGUUUCAGAUUCAGCAAAUGUGAUGGGUCAGAUUUGGGUCUGCUUUUUAGUGCAGAUCUACUUGUUUUCUUUGUACAGAAGAGGGACUUCAGGCAACAGCCGUGACUUCAGAGAAAUUAGGGCAAAUAUUUCAGGGGAGGUUCCUACUUGGUACCUGACCUAGAAAACAUCCUUUUAAGUAGAAGCAUUAAAUCAGAAAAGGAAAUUUUGUGGUCUGAGCUGUACCACAGGCUGCUGCCUAUAGCUGAGCACAGAGUCUGACUCCCUGCCUGUAAACCUUCUCUGUGCUUUAGGUUACUAUUGGAAAUGUCCCUGGAAGAGGAGAUGAUGGGUGUCCUGUGCUGCCAUGAAGUUUCUGUAUACUGGAAUGAGUUUCCUUUAAUAUGAUUACUUAUUUGAGGUGUGAAGGACACCAAUAACUCUCACCAAUUUGAUGGGAGUUGUAAGCACUCAGUCCAUAAAAUAUGGAGAAUGCUGUGUAGAGAUAUCAGUGGAGUUAUAUAUAGAGAUGGAGUCUGGCAGCAGGGAGGAAGUAUUUCCCAAGGAGUCUGUUGCUGCUGUGUGUUAGGGCUACAUAAAGUAAGAUUUCUGUUUCAGUCUUCAGCUGGGAAGACAGUUGGAGGAGGCUGGAUGCCAAAUGGUGAGACUGCAUGGAUCUCCAAGUGAGUGUCAGUCUGUGGCUUUUACUUAGUGCCUCAUGUAGUGCCUAUAUAUUUGCAAAGACUUCUGAAUUGAAGAAAGCUGUGUGUAAGAGACUGAAAUUGUUAAUGGCUUAAUCCUUUUAAAAUCAUUGAAGGACUUUUUGAUCACCAUAGCAAACUGCAAAUACACAGCUGAAUAUCUGGGAGCACUCAAGGCCACCCCUCCCCAAAUAUGCCCAAUACCUGGAAUUUGGAUUGUGACAGGAACCUGAGAUAAGAUGAAGGGGUAUUAUUGUCCAAUCAUCACUGGUCUAGGGAGGAGAAUGGAUCCACAAGUGAGACAGGAAGAGAGACUGGAAUGCUGAUGGUUCAAAUAUUCAGGAGAAGCUGCUGAUGUGCAGAGGCACAGAGGGUGAGCACAGCUCUCCUCAGGCUCCAGCUGGUGUUGAAUGAGGUAAGGAAAGAGACAAACCCUGUGUGGUGGGGAAUUAAUCUGUCCUUACUCCAGUGACUCAGCUGUGUUACUGCCCUGCCAGGGAAGCACCAGAGCCCUCCCAGGCAGCCUGGAGGUGUCUGUCCCUGCUGAUGGGCCCCCAUGGCCACAAUGGACUCAGCUGCACUGGUGUCACAGGCAGCUGGAUCUCCUUGGAAGGUGUCAAAGACUCCCCAAAUGUCCUGAGGUCCACAACAUUACAUCACCCAGGGGAAACUCCCUCCUCCAGGGGAGCUAUCUGGGCAUUCUUAUUUGAGCCUGAGUGCAUUUAAACCAGAGUUUAUAUUCUGGGGGUUCCCUCACGACCUGAUGGAUCCAGUCUGUGACUGUCACUUUGACUGAGAGUGUGACCAUCACUUUGACCAGCAAACAUUGAAAUGGCAGCAGCUGAGCCUCUUCACAAGGCAUGUGGGUGGUGAGAUUCUUCCUCUCUUAUAAUUUCCUUCUAUUUCUUAUACAUUUUCUGCUGUGAUGUUUUUAUGCUUCUUUAUUGUCAUAUUACUGUAGAUAGCAGCUAACAAAAUGCCCCCUUACCUGUUUUCCUGUGCAACCAAACUGUUCUACAAUAAACCCUACAUAGGUAUAAUUACAAA